Molecule: long non-coding RNA, 4581 nt
Organism: Sus scrofa (pig)
Lineage: Eukaryota; Metazoa; Chordata; Mammalia; Artiodactyla; Suidae
Source: RefSeq, a predicted model, not a curated record
GAGACAGGAAAGCAGCCCUCUCAGCUGACCAGGCCGAGGACUGGGCCAGGCUCAGGGGAGGGGAGAGGAUGGGGAGAGAGAUGCUCUGAACAGGGGAGAUGGGAGACUGAGCUGCCGCGCCCCCAGCAGGAACGCAAGCUGGUACAACUGGAGUCCUCAAGCCCAGGAGGCAGGUGGGGUCUGGGAAUGCCUCAGCAGCCCGGGUACUUCCUCUGGGGCAGGCGCUGGCCCCGUGGAAAGUAGCUCAGGGCCUGCGAGUGAAUCAGAGCCAGGCCUGGCGGACUCUGGGAGAAACCCUCAGCGCGCUUACUCCUGGAGGCGGGGGUGGCCCCGCGCUCUUCAGUGCAAGGGCCUCGAAAGAGGCAGCUCUUUCCCCCCACUGCUUAUGGCUUGGCCUUCCCAGGGAUUUUAAGGGGAAGGGCGAGGCCUAGGUCUCGCUGGCAUCGAGGUCUCCGAUGAUUCUGAGACCUCGAGGAAGAAUUCUCAUACUUUAGAGGCCACACGCUCUUGGAGAGCACUCGCGGCGAAGGCUGGUGAGGGGCUUUCUCCAGGCGCAAGUGCACAAAAGGUAGCGCGAGUCUCUUUUCAGGCGACCCGAGAUAAGCGGAAAGGAGAGCGGGUUUUUUUCUGACUUCCAACUCAUUAGGGACCAGGGCUGCUUGAGCUUAAAUCAUCACAGAAAGAGAGAAAGGCUAAUUGCUAAAACUUUUUGAAGUCGGAAAACUUGGUUAAAUUAGUAACCAAGGGCAUCAUCAUCUUAGCAACAGGAAGUCUUCGAAAAGCUCAGGUCCCAGACAAAUCCUGCCAUCUCUCAGUGGAAGUGAUGGGCGGCACCAGUUUAAAGAACUCACCGAUCUCUUGUUAGCCUGGAGUUGUGUUUGAAAAGCAAAAGCCCUGACCGUGGCUGUCAGCCCUCUCAGACACAACAUCUGCUGCCUGUCUGUCAUCAUCAGCUUCAGGUCAUGAAGAGUUGGUUGAGAAAGAAGAAAACGUGGAAUAUCUGGUUUUAGAUCAUCCCAAACUCUAAUUAUCCCAUCAAUAAAAUGUCACUUCAGGUCUGGUUAUUUGAUGAACAGGAAAGAGGUGGAAAAUUUAAAAGGCCUGAAGUAACCUUUUGGAUUGAAGAGAGACCUUCUCAAAUCAGAAGACUUUUUUUUUUUUUUUGGAUCCUGGAUGUUAGCAGUUUCCUUUAAAAAAAAAAUACUCUGGAAACCCUCUAUAAAUGAAAGAAAUGUGUAUAGUAUGCAAAUCAAAGUGUGUUGUCCUCAUUUACCCAGUGGAAUUCAAAAUAAGCCCCAACUUGUGAACAUAUUAAAGCAGAUUGAAAUGGAUAUUAGCGGGAUUUGUAAGGAGAAGCACUCCAGUCGGUCAAACAUGCUAUGCACAAGAACUUUGAUAAUGUUGUUUUACUGAUAAUUACCUGCCGGCUGUCACCUCAAAGUGGGAUUUCAUGCAGGUUGCAGUAUUUAAACAUUACAUUGGGAGCCAAGCCUGCAAAGACGCUUACACCAAUCUGGCCAUGUUCAUUUUAUUUCCCAAUUAUCUGUGACUUUCUUCAUGAAAAGCAAUGCAGUUAACUCCCUUUUAAUUGUGUUUGAUCUGUGUGGGCAAGAGAACAUCAAUACCACAUUCCCUCUUCCCAGGUCCAGAGCAGGUUCUGCCCUCUCCCUCACAGACAUCAGCAGACACCAGAAUUACUGGAAAGCAACACUUCCUGGUGGGCAUGAAUAUUCAUCUGACCUCCAAAGCUGGUGGGCUGGGGCCAAGCAAACCCCUUAGACUUAUAUUAACUAAAGGUGGUUUAAACAGGAAGGACCAUCUUAUGUGGUCUUCCCAGGGCCACUAGCUCCUGCAGAUCCUCCAGCUCGCAGAAAACUUCCUUUUCUUUGUACCCUCCCCCCACUUUUUCCCCCAUACUGAACUCCUAAUUAAAUUUAACAGUUUCAAGAGUUUAAACUGUAUACCUUUUUAAUUGUGUCCUACUUUGUAUUGGCUGAUGCACAAGUCUGAAAAUGGAUAUUACAGCUUUUUAUGAUAUAAUAUCACCCUAAUUGGUGCUUCAUAAGGCCGUGGCUGAAUUCUUUUCAAUUGAGCCCUAACAUACAGUAACUGUUUCUCUCUGCAAAUGCUGGAAAGCCAUUCAUAAGAGAGGACUGGUACUGCACAAUUCCAAAGUACCUUAAUGUGUCAAAAAUGUUUUGUGAAGAAAGCUACACUGUAAAUGCAAUCACCUACAUUGGUGUUCCCAUUGUUAACUGGAAGUGAAAGUAUUGCUAAUUGUCCUGCGUUUUAGCUGGGUUUUUAAAGCAUUAUGUAGUAAGUACACCGGAGGGUCAAUUUGUGAAGUGAAAUACUUAGCAUGCAAAGCGUAAUACAAGAUGCUGUGUAAUACUUGACCUCUCAGCAUAAUAAAUGUAGCAGUGAAACGCUGUGCAUUCAGUAUUCACUGAAUAGAGCCUUCGCAGUGGAACAAAACCAGAAAAUGUUCUCUUCAUUCCUUUUUUUUUUUUUCACUAAGCGAAAAUUAUUCUUUAUAAUGGCCAUUGCAGCAAUUAGCUGGCAUUUGGUAGAAUAAAUGUGCAGAAAUAGCAAUUUCUUAUUUUAAAUGAGAUUUUGUAUGGAGCCUGCAAAUUACUUGAGGUAUAUGAAUAAUUGUGCCUUAGCUUUAUGCUACAGAAUAGGGUGUGGGUGGGUAUAAAGAUUUCCUAUUUGCAGUUAAAUGUUUAGACAUUUUAUUAUUUUAAUUUCACUCACAGACUGCCUGGACUGACCCUGCCUUCCCAUUGAUCAUUUCAUGUGCGCCUGGAAGCAAGUGUGCAGAUGGCGGGAGACUCCCAAUUAGUGCACCAUGUUUUUUAUGAAUGUGACAUGUACGUGCAAUCAGGUCUCCCCUGGAGGCAAUGGCAGUGUAGAGACUUUGAGUUUCUAAAUCAAUACAAGUUAAUAAUCUGCAUGGAAUGGAUGUUUAUCUAUAUUCUCUGUGGUCAAAUGCAAUUGGAAACUUCAUUACAUUUUUACCCAAAGUUUUUCCCCUUAUUGAAAUGCAUUCUUCCAGGCAUUCAUGAUUCAUCUAAUUAGCCUUAAAUAGGGUAUUUUUUUUCUUCUCUCAAAGUGAUUCAGUUAAUUAUGUCCAUCUAUUCAUAAUUAUAAGGUGGAUGAGUCGGAUAAAACUGAAAUUAUGAAAUCUGCAGAGAUUCAACGAGGUUUAGAACGUACAAUGUAAAAAAGGAUUGAGUAAAUCAGAGCAUUGUAAUACUUUGUUUUAAUCCCCCUCAGCCCACCCCACCCCAACUGCUUUCUCACAGGGUUUUAUAUACUUACUUUUUUCACUUGUCAUUUGUAAUCCAACAACUUGCUAAAAUUGAUUUGAGGUAAGCUCAUAGUGAUUGAUAAUACUCACAAUAAAGCAAACACCACAAAUACUAAUAACACUUGACUAAUGUGUCCAAAACUAUUUUUAAUUGAAAAAAACUUUAAAAUAACAUAUCGUCAUUUAAAGGUUAACUCUUCAAAUAGUAAAGGGAGAAAUUUCCUUUCACCCACUGACCACCAUCCAAGUUCUCCUACUGAUGUACCUACUUUAGCAGCUCUCUUAUAUGUUCUUAUUCCACCUUUUCAAGUCCUUUCUUAUUACAGUCCUUCCCAUAUUUUACUUGCAUAUUCUAUUCAUAAGUACGCUACACAAUAUUGUAAGUUUCAAGCAUUUUAUUUUAUUUUCUCCAGACAACUUUUCUAGCUCAAUAACUUUUUUUAGUCUUUAAAAUUAUGUUUUUGGAUUUUUUUUAGUUAAAUGAAAGUACAAUCUACCUUAAUUUUUAUUUUAGCUAAGACCGAAGCACAUUCAACUUUUUACUCAAACCAUUGAGUGAUGCCAAAAAUUCCUCUGCCAAAUGCUAUAAUGAAGGCAACCCAUUAUCAAAUGACAUAGCUCAUGUGUUAAAUCCAACCUGUGAUACUACAAAAUUGGAAAUAGCCCCAAUUAGUGAUUGUUCAUCUAAUCUUGGUAAAUGAUGUUCUCACAUAGCAAGCAGAUACUAAUUCUCUAUCUUUCUACAAGCAAGGCUUGUUGGCUACACUCCCUCACAACAAGCCCCGGAGAGGGUGCUGGGUCAUUGUAUUACUGUCUUUGCCCAGUGGUCAUACUCAAGAGUUUUAACAAAUUGCAUAGCCACUGGGCAGAAAGAAUUGUGUGAUUUCUGUCUUAUUUGAACUCCUCAUGAUUUUUUACCAAUGAGACAAAUAAUAAGUCACAAUCAGAGUUUUAUCAUUUGAAAUGAUUUGUAGUAAACCCAGGUAGCUGACUGCAAAAAUAAAUUUCUUUUUAAAUUGGAUAUAUAAAAUGAAAGAAUGUGAGUUACGUUAUUUUUCUUUUAAUUAUUCCUUUCUGAAAUAUCCCCCUUAAGACUUUCCAAAGGAGAAGAGUGGUGGACUGAGGGUAAAAUUUCAUUCAUAUCUUUGUGGGGUAUAUGCAAGUGUUAUAUAAAUAACCAUAUAAGUAAAGAUACUGGUAUGUUAGAACAGAGACAGAAAAAUGUCAACUGUGUUUUCCCAUUACUGUUAUUAAAUAAUAAUGCUCUGGUC